GCUCCCUGAGAUUAGCGGCGGACGGGUGAGUAACACGUGGGCAACCUGCCUAUAAGACUGGGAUAACUUCGGGAAACCGGAGCUAAUACCGGAUACGUUCUUUUCUCGCAUGAGAGAAGAUGGAAAGACGGUUUCGGUGGCCCUUUUAAAUGGGGCCCCGGGGCCAUUACUUAUUUGGGGGGGAAAGGGUCCCCCAGGGGAACAAACCCAACCCAACCGGGAGGGGGGACCGGCCCACUGGGG
Molecule: ribosomal RNA, 243 nt
Filed under: Peribacillus simplex
Lineage: Bacteria; Bacillati; Bacillota; Bacilli; Caryophanales; Bacillaceae
Description: Bacillus simplex partial 16S ribosomal RNA
Rfam family: Bacterial small subunit ribosomal RNA
Source: RNAcentral